GUGUGUUCUCUCUGCUGCUCUGUGUCCUGCUAUCUGGCAGAGCUGAGCAGUCUGUUGCAGAUACUUGUCAGGACAGAACUCUGGAAUUUUCAAAACACGGAGCAGCGUGCAGUGACAGAUUCCCCAAGGAUUUUCCUGCACAGGCAUGGAUGUAAGGUUCUGGGUUCUUCCAGAGGUGGCAGCAGGGAGAAGGACCAAGAAGAUGAGUCUUGAGAACAUACAGAGGAAAUGAAAAUCAUUUAAAAGAAGCAUGUUUAUGAAAAACAGUGCAGCUCAAAGUAAUUUAGAGCUCGAAAGCCGUCCAGCGGGGGUGGCUCCAAGGAUUCCUCGACACGUUCAUCAGAAGUAGCAAAGCUGUGGUGACCAAGUCCAGAGGCUCUUCUCCGUAGUAUUUUAAUUAAGCACAUUUUUCACUGAUAAAUUGCACACCCAUAGUCAUAACAUAACAAACUUCAAAAACAUAAAUCAUACUUCCUGUGCUGGAGUUAUUUGCUGUGCUGUAUCCCGAAUUCUUGCUUCACUACUCCCCUCUGUCCCUGUAUGGCAUAAAGUGGUUAGAAAAUGGAUUGAUUGAUUGCUUGAUUAAUAUAUUUAACAGCAUUAGGGUUAGGGCUACAGCCCAUAGUUAAUUACAAUUCUAUAUUCAGCAUUGCAGUAUUAUAUUUUUUAAUGUUAAGUCUGUUUUGUAAGGUGUCAGCAAUAUGCACGAACAAUAUUGAAAGGGUGACCAUUUAUCACAAGACUGCAGUUAUGUCCCCUGAGACCUCUAGUCUCUUCUGGGUUUUCUCUAGUUAAGCGUUCACCUACUUAAUUGGCCCAAUUAAUUGAUUUCCUGGCUGAAUUAAAUCCAGGCACCAGAAGGUUCUGUAAAGAGAACAGGACCUAAGGAUCUUCUAGUUUUCAUUCAACCUCUAUUCCUUUCAGUGGAACAAAUUAUUGAAUCAAGAAGUUAAGUCACCUAUUCGUUUACAUAUUAAUCUGCUGCUAUUCGCAAAUUACCUGUGUACCUAAAUCCAAGAUUAGAAAUCCACACAUAAAAGAUUGGAGUUGAGCAUUCAUGUUGUAUAAGAAGAUGAUAUUCCAAGAGAUACUGGAGAUAUUCUGUACCCAAAGAGUAGCAGGGGUAUGGACCAAGUUACCCUGCCAUAUUGCUGAAGCCAAUACCCCGCUUUCUUUCAAAACGUGGUUGAUAGGCUCUCUGGAUCAAUAAGCCACUAACUACCAAAUGUUUGUAACAUUUCUUUUGUUCUUAUGAGUUGUCCAUACAAUACCUACUUCACAAUGAGGUGGUGCUUUUUCAACAUUUGACACUACUGUAUGUCUUGCACCCUGACUACUAUCAAUUCCUGCAUUGUUUUAGUUAAAUUUAUAGACUGAAAUAGUUUAAUGUUUUUACAUUGAUACAUUAUGAGUUCAUUCAUACUCCAAACCACAUUUCUUACAGGUUACCUGUCAUACAGUAUGAAUAAUGCAGCAUACUUAGCUUUCCAAUAAUUUUAAAGGACGUGUUCAUAUCCCUGUCACAUUUCUUUCGGUCAAAGAAGCUUAUACACCAUUAUUAAGAUUUAAUGCAAAUAUGUGAACGCAAGGCAUCAGUUUUAGCAUCACUGCUUGUAUUUAAAUUCGUAGCUACCUCUGAGAUGUUUACUGAUGUUGCUAACACUGCGCCAAUAAAACAAUUAAGAUAUGGAGUGAAGGUAAUUACCUGAGAUCAGCAUUAGACAAAUGUGUUAUAUUGGUUUUAAUAAUGCCAAGUAAUGCUAAAAUUGUAAACAUCAUUAAAACCUAGCCCACGGUGUAUUUCCUUCUUCAUAAGAUGUUCUCCGACUCUUUUCAACUAAUCAGUAGUACAUACUGUAGUUGUCAUGGGUUCAUUUUCACAAUAGCACUGUAAUAAGAGAAUGCACACCUUUACACCUUGUUAAAAUAAAACAAAUGAAAAGUAACUCAAAAGCCAGAGUGCCUUUACAGCAAAAAUAAGACAACAGUAAGCAGGGUGAUUUCAAUCAUUCCAGUCAUGUAAGCUGAACCGUAGCUCAGGUACAGUAUGCCAUCGUCAGCUACAGUCAUGCCUCAAACUACUUCAGUUAACCUUGCGUUUGAUUUUCAGCAAUCAGAAUUUAUACCGGAGCCCAGUGAUCUUCCCUUCAAAUCCUUGAAGGGCAACAAACCACCAACCAGGUUUUAGAAGGAAGCUAAACCCACUCAAUGAUUAAAGACUUGGGCAUUUUGUAUUUGCAAUUAAGACCAAUUAAUUAAAUAAUUGAUUAAGAGAUCAGGUAGAAUGAGAAAUAUAAAGGCUGGGAGUCUAACCAAAUCUGGAUUAUACACCUUAAGGCUUUAAAGGGACAGCAUUUUAAAAAAAGUAAUUAUGUGUUUUAGAAAUAAUUAUUUUUCCCUUCUUUGUGGCCCUGGUAUGAGAUAUGAGUAAGGUGAAAGAUUACAUUUUAUGGGUGAUGUUAUGGCUAGUUUUAUUACAUGGAAGUUAGAUUUUAUGUCUUCUACAACUAAACCUUGAAAUACAGCAUUAAUUUAAAUUACUUGUGUUAAUCUCUUAGAGAUGAAUGCAAAAUAAGAUGAUUUAUUAAUAUUUAAAAUGCUGUAUUGCAGGGAUGGUGUUACACAAUUACUUGUAAGGGCAGCACACAAAACACAAACAGAACAAAGUUUUUUUAUGAUAAUUAUUAGUAAAAUAACUAUGUUAAUAAUAUUCCGUCUUUGCUAAUUUCAGUACUGAGAACUGAUCAGUAAA
This is a long non-coding RNA of Lepisosteus oculatus (spotted gar), 2752 nucleotides long. RefSeq lists it as uncharacterized. The record is from RefSeq and is a predicted model, not a curated record. Lineage: Eukaryota; Metazoa; Chordata; Actinopteri; Semionotiformes; Lepisosteidae.